AGAAUCAACGCUGGCGGCGUGCCUAACACAUGCAAGUCGAACGAGAAAGUGGAGCAAUCCAUGAGUAAAGUGGCGCACGGGUGAGUAACACGUGACUAACCUACCCUUGAGUGGGGGAUAACCUAGAGAAAUCUGGGCUAAUACCGCAUAAUACCUUCGGGUCAAAGGAGCAAUUCGCUUAAGGAGGGGGUCGCGGCCGAUUAGUUAGUUGGCGGGUAAUGGCCCACCAAGACUAUGAUCGG
RNAcentral lists this ribosomal RNA (242 nucleotides) under uncultured bacterium. Its description in RNAcentral is "partial small subunit ribosomal RNA". It matches the Rfam family "Bacterial small subunit ribosomal RNA", at positions 26 to 283 of the family's 1533-position model. The record is from RNAcentral.